This 1413-nucleotide long non-coding RNA is filed under the name Anser cygnoides (Swan goose). Its description in RNAcentral is "lncRNA (ENSACDG00005013569.1)". The record is from RNAcentral. Lineage: Eukaryota; Metazoa; Chordata; Aves; Anseriformes; Anatidae.
UUGUGAAAAUGUACCCUCCUGAUAAUCCACACGGGGAUGUGGCCAUGUACUGCCUUAGAGGAAGCUGGCAUCACACCGCAGAUCAUGAGCUUCACAAAAAUUUGGCUGUAAGCAGUGCCUCGCACCUUUAAUUUGGAAGCAAAUUUGGAAUUUUCAACCCAGAGUCCAUCCCUGGAAGCCAAUGGAAGCGUGAGGUCUGAGGUGCUGAGGCUGCACGGGUAUGAUCAGAAAGCAGAAAACCAGCUUGCAAAUAAAGUCUGUGAGCAAAGAGGGAUCUAAGACAUAGAGAGGAAGGGUGUUACGGUGGGGUCACUCCAUGAAAACAGUCACUGUUUUUCAGACAGGGGCAGAGCAGAAGUUAACAGCUGGAAAAAGAGUGAUGUUGAACCUGGCUGCAUGGUCUUUAAACAUCCUAUGGUAUGCAAUAGGAAAAGUAUCCAUUACAUUUAGAAUUAUGCUUUAUGUUUGAUUUAUUUGUGGUUUUUGUUUCCAGUCUUGUGCCUGACUUAAAGUCUGACUUUAAUUCUUAAGCAAAGCCAAUGGGUGUAUUUAAGACUAAAUCCUGAAGAGGCAUACCUCCAAACUAAGCUCUUCUGUCCGUGUGGGUGGAAGACAGAAAACACAUAUCACACAAACCUUCUGUCAGCUUCUUUCAUAUUAAUGAAGCCUCUCUCUUAAAUGCUUUUUCCCGUGCUUGUGUUUCCCUACAGAAAAAGUGGAGUCUUGCAUUCUCCGUGCACAUGAACCAAUACCCUAACUGGAUGUGCCCCAAAACACUCUGAUGCAAAUAUGAACCAUGAAGGAAUGCACUUGAAUUCCAGAAUGCUGGAAAUGAAGGAAGUCCAGGAAGAGGAACGAGCAGAGCUGGGGUCCAGCUGUAGGGGCAGCCUUCCAACAGGUUUCUCACUCCUCGAACCCCUGUGGAUGCGACAUUGGGAGGAGACGUGGCACAUCUGCUGUAGGUAUGCCCAUGAGUCCAUAAACCCCAGGACAAUCCCAAGAGACCUCAGUCCUUUGGGUGAUGGGAACGGACAAGCAGGGUCACGAGGCCACAUGUCAGGUUGCUGCUUCUAUUUAUAAGCUGCUUGUAGGCAUAUUUUAUGUAUGCAUUUACGUGUUUGUAGGCACGCAUGUGCAUGUAGACAAAAACUAUGGCAGUGCGUGCAUGGUCUGUACCAUAGCCACAAGAUGUAAAAUUCCUGUCCUGAUAGGAACCAUGCUGGCUAAAAGCUGAGCUGACCCAUUUUCAGUCACAUUUCCCAUGACCCCAAGGCAUGGAAAGCACAUCAUGAUGCUUUGAGCUGUGGGCUGGCCUUUGGCAAAGCCACAUGUUCCACACCCUGCUGCCCACUUGAGCCACAUCCAUAUGACCAGCCUAGCACAGGCUGGGUAUGAUGCGUGGCACAGCAUCAC